Molecule: ribosomal RNA, 3093 nt
Filed under: Triticum aestivum (bread wheat)
Lineage: Eukaryota; Viridiplantae; Streptophyta; Magnoliopsida; Poales; Poaceae
Description: partial small subunit ribosomal RNA
Source: RNAcentral
AUGAAUACCAUACGCGGUGCCGGAGAGGGCGACUCAACCACGCCAUUGUCCGCCGCGAGGGCUGCUGCCAGCUCUCGUGCUCGCUGCCUCGCACGGCAGGCACAUCGCACCAUACUUGCGUUCACCUCCGCCUUGUGGCAACACACCUCGCGCCGGAUCCAUGCGCCAACGGAUUCCCAGCGGAACGAGUCCAACCAAUGCCGUCGGGCUGCCUCCUCCCAGGAGCAUUGCAGCGCUAGGCGGACGACGAUCUCCUCCUCGGGGCCGCGUGGGAUGAGCUCCUGGUCAACGGAUCCGGGAGGUACGGGAGCUUGUGGGCGGAGGGAAGUGGAUUUCAGAGGAGGGGAGUGGAAUGCUGCUAGGGUUCGGAGAAGUGCUGAUAGGAUCCAACUUAUGUGGGGCCGGAUGGGCCAGCGUGGCCAAAUCCGACGUGGCAUGCACGUCCUAGCGUCCCAAUGCCCCCCAGAUAUGGGUUGGAUAUGGAGAGUGUCCGUCCGUCCUGGUGUUUGGACCGGAAAUGGGAUGCCCAAUUGGGUGACAUUUUUUGGUCCGAAGACCUGCGGACGGAUCGCAACCCUAGUGCACGAGGUGCUCGCCGGGGCGUGGAGGCGUCUGCAGCCUAGCUUCUCUGCCCGCUGCUACAUCAUGGGUGUCCUGGUUCUUGGUGUCCACCUCUUCGGUGCUGCAGUGCACGAGGUGCUCGCCGGGGCGUGGAGGCGUCUGCAGCCUAGCUUCUCUGCCCGCUGCUACAUCAUGGGUGUCCUGGUUCUUGGUGUCCACCUCUUUGGUGCUGCAGGUUUUCAUCUGUUUUCUUCACCGGCUGCUCCCUCUUCCCCUAAGGGUUAUAAUUCAUUCGUUUUAUUCCCUUUGUCUCGGCUUGUUGAUUACCAGCGCCAUGGCCGCCGCCGCCCUUUGCCAUCCGCGCCAGGCCGCCUCCCUCCUCCGCAAAUAUUUGCCAGCUGCCAUUCACACACGCACAUAGAGAGGAGAGAGCUCCGCGCGUCACGCCUCUACUUCCUCCCCGCCGCUGCUGCCCUUUGCCGUCCGCGCCAGAUUACCUCUGUAAUAGGCUGGGCAGGGCGGCAGGUUUGGCAGUCGGCCCGUGAUUGCAGCCGGACGAAAGGUUCUGGAGAACCAUCGGCCCAUAUCCCGCCGCCCCAACCCUCUCACCCUUUUCCCGGCGAGUCGCACCGCCCCAACCCUCUCCCACCCUCAUCUCGUAGCUCCCCUUCCCUUCAUCAUGCUCGGGCUCCCUCUCGCUUCUGCGGCCUGGACCCAUGUGGUUGGCAGAGCCGUGGCGGGGGAGCUUCACCGGCUACGUCGCCGUGGGUUCACAGGAGUGAAACGCCAGACUUUUUCGGGAGACGACGCUGUUGCGACGCCUCUCUGCCAUCACCGGUGCUGCCAUUUUCGUCGGGCGUAGCGUGCGACCCACAACAUUGGGGACACACCAGUUUCGUCGGUCGAUUCAGACCCAACUCCGUCCCCGCUUCUUCCCUCGAGCCAGCGAUGGCUGUUCUAUUCCAUUCCCCGUUUAAUUUUGAGUACUGGAGUCCAAGGCGAGCCCAACUAUGGCUGAGAAUGAGGGCCCAAGGCUGCUGUAGUGCUAGACGCUGUGGCCGUCUUCUCCCACGCGGGGGCCUGUCGCGCGCUUACCCGGGAGUGUCGACGGUGGGCACGACCUGUACUGCUUCCUGCUGGCCUCUCAAGGCCUCCUCCUGGUCCACAGCUACUCCGCGACUCCAAAUUGGCGGCAUUGAAAAAAGGCCUGUCUUUUUUGUGCUCGAAUUUCUUGCUUCUUCCCUGAUUGUUGGUGAAUGUUUGAUCCACAGACUUCUGAUCAUUCUGAACAAAUGCUUGAACUCUUUGUUGUUUCAUGUGAUUUUUGGAAGUUCAUUAGAUUUUGGAAAAGUAUCAGAUGAGACAAGCAAUGAAAUGGACUGUGUGGAUAAUCACAGGAAUGGUGUUCCGUGGAUAGGUCAUGCGUUGGAGAGGGAACGACAAGCUGCAGCAGCGAGAGGUCUUGCCUCUUUUCUGCUGUUCUUGCUUCUCCCCUAUGAUUUUUUAGUUGGUUGUCUUGGAGAGGAAACGACAAGCUGCAGCAGCCAGAGUAGUAGGAGCAGCAGCUUCAACUCCCACGUCUCUGAGAUUUGUUCUCCAGUUCAAACUAAGAGAUGCAUCACUAAUAUAGAUCAGGGUAUUCAGUACAGAAACAUUUUUGGGACUGCAUUUGAUGGUGCUUUUGUCACGAUAGUGGUAGAACUUAUUGCCCGUAAUGGAAGGAUGCAUUGCCGUAUCCAGUUUGGUUGCAACGUAUUGCAACGUAUGGCGAUCUUCAGGCUCCCGAACCUAUCAUGUUCCUUGCUGACGCCACAGCUGCGGGGUUCCAGCAGAAUCCGGCGCAACUUGCGCGGCCGAUGGGGCCAACGCCUUCUUCGGCCAGAACGACGGCAGCCCGGGCACCCAGAGUUCGGCAAUCCUAAAUGGCCCGGCGGAGGAGAAGGAGGCCGAGCGGAAGAUGGAGAUGUUUUCCGCCGGCGUUGGCGACCAGGGCGGGCUGCUCUCUUCAGUAACGGCGGUGACAUGGGCAUGCUCAACUCGGCCUUCCUCAAGGGCAUGGAGGAGGCCAACAAGUUCUUGCCGACCAACAACACCCUCCUCGAGGCCAUCCCUGGCAAGGAGCGCGGCUUCACCGUCAAGAAGGAGGUGGCGGAUGGAACACCGACGUCCGGCAAUGGCCGAGGCCGCAAAUACAGGUACGACGAGGACGACCUGGAGGCGGAGACCGCCAGGAGCAGCAAGCUGAUGAUGCCGGACAGCGAGGAGACCGGCGCCCGCGAGAUGUUCGACGAAAUAAUGCUGGAGGAGUACGAGGCAUGCAUGCAGGGGAUAGAGGAGCUGCGCCUCGCCAUGGACAGCAAGGCCAAGAAGAAGAACGGGAAGACGGCGCGCGCGAAGAAGAGCGAGGCGGUCGACCUGCUCACCAUGCUCAUCCACUGCGCGCAGGCCGUGGCCGCAGGCGACCGCCGGGGCGCGACGGAGCUGCUCAGGCAGAUCAAGCAGCACUCCGGGCCGACGGGAUACGCCACGUAG